UCGGGGGACACGACAUACUGAGACACCAGCUGUGGCAGCCAAGGGAUUGCUGGCAUCACCCAUUCCCUAGACUCAAGCUGCACAACAUAAGGCUCCAAAAGAGACCCCUGUCUUCUGCUUAGGGAGAGGAGAGGGAAAAGUGGAGAGGACUUUUUUAUACAUCUAGAUAACAGCUCAGCCACAGCAAGACAGGGCAACAGUUGGAGUUGUGAGGCCCCCAUUCCAGGCCCCAUCUCCCAGAUAACAUUUCUAGAUACACUCUGGGCCAGAAGGGAUGCCAUUGCCUUGAAGGAAAGGACCCAGACCUGCCAGCAUUUAUCACCUGCUAUGUGAGGAGACCCAGGUAUUCCCAGGUACUACAUCAAGGGCCUUGGUGAGCCUCUGAGACUUUCUGACUUCAGGUUACCAGCUGUGGUGGUUAUGGGGCAAAACUCCUUCUGAUUGAGAGAAGCAGAAGGAAAAGUAAAAGGGAAUUUUGCCUUGCACCUAAGUUACCAAUACCACCAUGGGGGGUAGAGUACAAAGGUGGCUUUGGGGUUCCUGGUUCCAGGACUUGACUCUUGGAUGGCAUUUCGUGACCUGCCCUGGACCAAAGAGGUGCCCACUACCCUGAAGGGAUUGCAGAAUGAACAAGAAUUUCCCAACCAACUAUCUGCUGCUUUCAAGAGUCUCACCUGCCACAAAAUGACUCACAUAAACUUAAGG
Molecule: long non-coding RNA, 705 nt
Filed under: Homo sapiens (human)
Lineage: Eukaryota; Metazoa; Chordata; Mammalia; Primates; Hominidae
Description: HSALNT0063439
Source: RNAcentral